Molecule: ribosomal RNA, 253 nt
Filed under: uncultured bacterium
Lineage: Bacteria
Description: partial 16S ribosomal RNA
Rfam family: Bacterial small subunit ribosomal RNA
Source: RNAcentral
UACGGGGGGGGUAAGCGUUGUUCGGAAUUACUGGGCGUAAAGAGCUCGUAGGCGGUCUGUCGCGUCGGCUGUGAAAACCCGAGGCUCAACCUCGGGCCUGCAGUCGAUACGGGCAGACUAGAGUGUGCUAGGGGAGACUGGAAUUCCUGGUGUAGCGGUGAAAUGCGCAGAUAUCAGGAGGAACACCGGUGGCGAAGGCGGCAUCCUGGACCAAUACUGACGCUGAGGAGCGAAAGCCAGGGGAGCAAACGGG